This 233-nucleotide ribosomal RNA is filed under the name uncultured bacterium. RNAcentral's name for it is "partial 16S ribosomal RNA". It matches the Rfam family "Bacterial small subunit ribosomal RNA", at positions 118 to 347 of the family's 1533-position model. The record is from RNAcentral.
UGAGUAACCUGCCCUGGGCUUUGGAAUAAGCGUGGGAAACCGCGUCUAAUGCCGAAUACGACCUCCUUUCGCAUGAUCGGAGGUGGAAGGCUCCGGCGGAGAAGGAUGAGCUCGCGGCCUAUCAGCUAGUUGGUGGGGUAACGGCCUACCAAGGCGACGAUCCGUAGCUGGUCUGAGAGGAUGAUCAGCCACACGUGGGACUGAGACACGGCCCAGACCUCCGUACGGGAGCA